Molecule: ribosomal RNA, 832 nt
Filed under: Vibrio sp. PU-DOSMB3
Lineage: Bacteria; Pseudomonadati; Pseudomonadota; Gammaproteobacteria; Vibrionales; Vibrionaceae
Description: bacterial SSU rRNA
Rfam family: Bacterial small subunit ribosomal RNA
Source: RNAcentral
UCUCGGCGUCGAGCGGGCUCGACGGACGGGUGAGUAAAGUCUGGGAAAUUGCCCUGAUGUGGGGGAUAACCAUUGGAAACGAUGGCUAAUACCGCAUGAUGUCUACGGACCAAAGAGGGGGACCUUCGGGCCUCUCGCGUCAGGAUAUGCCCAGAUGGGAUUAGCUAGUUGGUGAGGUAAUGGCUCACCAAGGCGACGAUCCCUAGCUGGUCUGAGAGGAUGAUCAGCCACACUGGAACUGAGACACGGUCCAGACUCCUACGGGAGGCAGCAGUGGGGAAUAUUGCACAAUGGGCGCAAGCCUGAUGCAGCCAUGCCGCGUGUAUGAAGAAGGCCUUCGGGUUGUAAAGUAAAUUCAGCAGUGAGGAAGGGAGUAGUUUUAACAGAGCUACGUUUUGACGUUAGCUGCAAAAGAAGCACCGGCUAACUCCGUGCCAGCAGCCGCGGUAAUACGGAGGGUGCGAGCGUUAAUCGGAAUUACUGGGCGUAAAGCGCAUGCAGGUGGUCUGUUAAGUCAGAUGUGAAAGCCCGGGGCUUAACCCCGGAGUUGCAUUUGAAACUGGCAGGCUAGAGUACUGUAGAGGGGGGUAGAAUUUCAGGUGUAGCGGUGAAAUGCGUAGAGAUCUGAAGGAAUACCGGUGGCGAAGGCGGCCCCCUGGACAGAUGUCGACACUCAGAUGCGAAAGCGUGGGGAGCCCACAGGAUUAGAUACCCUGGUAGUCCACGCCGUAAACGAUGUCUACUUGGAGGUUGUGACCCUAGAGUCGUGGCUUUCGGAGCUAACGCGUAAGUAGCCGCCUGGGAGUACGGUCGCAAGAUUAAAACUCAAAUG